Molecule: transfer RNA, 76 nt
Filed under: Pseudomonadota bacterium
Lineage: Bacteria; Pseudomonadati; Pseudomonadota
Also listed under: 6 other names
Description: tRNA-Pro
Rfam family: tRNA
About the family: Transfer RNA (tRNA) molecules are approximately 80 nucleotides in length. Their secondary structure includes four short double-helical elements and three loops (D, anti-codon, and T loops).
Source: RNAcentral
CGGGGUGUAGCGCAGAUGGUAGCGCACCGGCAUGGGGGGCCGGUGGUCACCGGUUCGAGUCCGGUCACCCCGACCA